This 1306-nucleotide long non-coding RNA is filed under the name Mustela putorius furo (domestic ferret). RNAcentral describes it as "lncRNA (ENSMPUG00000024519.1)". The record is from RNAcentral. Lineage: Eukaryota; Metazoa; Chordata; Mammalia; Carnivora; Mustelidae.
NNNNNNNNNNNNNNNNNNNNNNNNNNNNNNNNNNNNNNNNNNNNNNNNNNNNNNNNNNNNNGGAUUAUAAAGUAAAGCUUCAAGCAGGUUUGAAUCUAAAAGCCACAUCAUCUGACAACUCUGAAGUUAUUUUCAUAUUUGAAAAAUGGAGGUGGUAGUACAUGUCUCACAGUUUUAGGGUGAGGAUGAAGUGCCAUAAGCCCUUAGCAUAAUGCCUGGUUCCUUGUGGAUAACACUGAAUAUUCUAGACGAACUUUGCAGUUAUCGCUGGAUAGCUCAACAGAGUAAACAUCUGUUUGUAUUAAGUUUUUCUUGGGUGCUACGUCUGCCUUGUCAGAAGAGUCCUCAGGGGAGGAUGAGGCAGCGAACUCUCAUUGCAUGAAAUGAGGUUUUAAAUGAGAUAAUAGGUGUGAAGCUCUCCAUAAAGCCCUUACAAAUGGUGACUUUUCCUACUAUGGCAGGAACUUCAGUUUACCAACAACUCAGGUGGGACUGUUCCAGUAUGGAUCAAGUUCUUCCAAUGACACAUGUGGACACAUCUCCUGGGGAGACUUCUGAGAAAGGUUUCCUCAUUCCCAGAAACAGACCUCUGGGGAGAGUCAUUUUCUUCUGCUGAUCAUGAUCAGGUCUGAGUCAAGCGGCUGGAGCUCCAGCAACCUUCUUGUGAUGGGGAGGAAAGGAUGGAGACUGGGUCCUCCAUGACAUCCCCAAUUAUACCAACCACGGAGCUUCCCCACUUCAGGAAAUCUUGUUAAGUGACUUUGGGGGUGUUCGUAUUUACGGCCAACCAGUAAAUCAAUGAAGAGAAAUCUCCAAAUGUCUUUAGACUAAGGACUUUUUAUGCCUUACACACUGUCUUCCAAAGAAGCCUUGCAAGUUCCUCUAGCUGAAAAUGCUUUGGCUGCUGCAACCGUUUCUCUCCUCUCAGGCCAUUGCUUUGUUUUCCUCACCUACCAACCAGGUUCCUCUGACAACUUUCUUUUCUUGCAAGCACAAGAUGCAUAGCUAUCAAAGAGACAAAACUUUCUCAUCUGUAAGUAUUAAUGGGUUGACUCACGAAACUUUCUUCUAUACUCUCAGGGGCACCCACUUAAAAACCAACAUAUACUAAAUGCUAUCUUACUAAAGUAGUGCAGAGCGUUUAAAAAAAAUGUAUGUCAAGCUCUUUCAUUCGUAAGUGUCCUACCAUAGCAAUGGUGCUUCACCUGUAUCCCUUUCAGUCCCUCCAAUUCUGAUUCCAAUUCCAACAGGUCUUGUUUUUUCCCACAUCAGGUCAUUCUCUGAAUCACCACCUAUCUAAUUCCAC